GUGCAAUGUAAGUGACAAUGUUACUUGCCGUCCCUCCAGGACAGCAGCCAACCAAUAUCAAGCCUGCUGCAUAAUGGGAUGGCAAAUUUAAUAGCUUGCUAACAAAAUAUCCCGAUAAAGGCAUCACCGAAUACUGAAGGAUGAAUCCGCAGAACAGCUCUUUAGGCAUCGCUAAAGCACCACGAAGGUCAUCGAAAGUAAGAGUCAUUCCCAUACCAAGCAUAGUGAGUGUAAUGCCCAUCACAGUCCAUUGAGGUUUGACCCAAUUGUACGAGCUAGGUUUAAGCAGCCCAAUCAAGCAACCCAAAGCUACCCACAAGGGAAACAAAACAGAAAUCGUUUCCCCAACACUUUGGAUCCAAUCCCCAAAGCUUUUAUUCUUGUUGUCAUCACCAUCAGCAGUAAUGGCAGUUGACGAAUUUGAACACAGAAGCUGUCCUCUGGAU
Molecule: unclassified non-coding RNA, 446 nt
Filed under: Hevea brasiliensis (rubber tree)
Lineage: Eukaryota; Viridiplantae; Streptophyta; Magnoliopsida; Malpighiales; Euphorbiaceae
Source: RNAcentral